This 422-nucleotide ribosomal RNA is filed under the name uncultured archaeon. RNAcentral describes it as "bacterial SSU rRNA". It matches the Rfam family "Archaeal small subunit ribosomal RNA", at positions 322 to 746 of the family's 1478-position model. The record is from RNAcentral.
CCUACGGGUGGCACCAGUUGCGAAACCUUCACACUGUGGGAAACCACGAUGAGGAGAUUCCAAGUGCCAACACCCAGUGUUGGCUUUUCAGCUGUCUAAAACGUAGCUGGAAUAAGGGCCGGGUAAGACGGGUGCCAGCCGCCGCGGUAACACCCGCGGCUCAAGUGGUGACCAUUAUUAUUGAGCUUAAAGCGUUCGUAGCCGGUCUGGUAAAUCUCUGGGUAAAUCGAACGGCUCAACCGUUCGAAUACCAGGGAGACUGCUAGACUUGGGACCGGGAGAGGCCAGAGGUACUUUUGGGGUAGAAGUAAAAUUCUGUAAUCCUAAAAGGACCACCAGUGGCGCAAGCGUCUGGCUAGAACGGAUCCGACGGUGAGGGACGAAGCCCUGGGGCGCGAACCGGAUUAGAUACCCUAGUAGUC